AGCAGCCGCGGUAAUUCCAGCUCCAAUAGCGUAUAUUAAAGUUGUUGCAGUUAAAAAGCUCGUAGUUGAAUUUCGAGAUCAAAUUGUUGGUCGUGCCUUGGUACGCACUGGCAUUAUUGGUUUCUCCCUUCUGAAGAACCAAGAUGUCAUUAAUUUGGUGUCUUGGGGAAUCAGGACUGUUACUUUGAAAAAAAUUAGAGUGUUUAAAGCAGGCUCGCGCUUGAAUACAUUAGCAUGGAAUAAUGAAAUAGGGCGUUUGAUUCUAUUUUGUUGGUUUCUAGGAUCGACGUAAUGAUUAAUAGGGAUAGUUGGGGGCAUUAGUAUUCAAUUGUCAGAGGUGAAAUUCUUGGAUUUAUUGAAGACUAACUACUGCGAAAGCAUUUGCCAAGGAUGUUUUCAUUAAUCAAGAACGAAAGUUAGGGGAUCGAAGACGAUCAGAUACCGUCGUAGUCUUAACCAUAAACUAUGCCGACUAGGGAUCGGAUGAUGUUAAUUUUUAAUGA
RNAcentral lists this ribosomal RNA (503 nucleotides) under uncultured Glomus. Its description in RNAcentral is "SSU rRNA". It matches the Rfam family "Eukaryotic small subunit ribosomal RNA", at positions 569 to 1074 of the family's 1831-position model. The record is from RNAcentral. Lineage: Eukaryota; Fungi; Glomeromycota; Glomeromycetes; Glomerales; Glomeraceae.